Molecule: long non-coding RNA, 3130 nt
Filed under: Triticum aestivum (bread wheat)
Lineage: Eukaryota; Viridiplantae; Streptophyta; Magnoliopsida; Poales; Poaceae
Description: long non-coding RNA (TAES_LNC009214)
Source: RNAcentral
UCCCUAAAAAUCAUGCAAGCACGAACUCAUCUCCCUUCCCUUUCCCUAUGAUCAAGUAUCCCUACUGCUCAAAGUGCGAAGCACUGCCACCGGAUGCUCAUGUCUCCUCGUCCUUCAUGUCGUGUUCUUCCACCAUGGCCAUCGGACUAUAUUUUUUAAAACCGAACGGGCAACUGAACCGUUGCGUCUGUCACCGGUUGAACCGCUGGUUCAUCGAUUUGUUCGUGACAAAAAAAAAACAAGUUACUAAAAAUAACCUUAGAUCAAAUGAGUACACAUAAUAUUGGAUGUAAUAUAAACAUAACCAGCCAGGUCACAGGGGCAGAGACAUUUUAACUCACCUUCCCUUUAGUUGCCAAUUUGAAGGGAGGGAUCGAAUUAUGUUGUGUUUAUGGCCAAUUGAGCGGUCCAUGAGCGAUCAAUUUAAAAUACAUAGUGAUAACCUGGCUUCUAAUGUAAAUAAUAAUCCAAUUCUUUUGCAAUUGGAUACCCAAAUUUAGCAUACUGCACAUUCAUCUCUCUUAUCGUCAGUGUUUGAUUAUGCAAAAAUAGGUUCAGCAUGUAAAAUCAAGGCUCUCUGCACACAAUUUCUUGGGAAGAGACAAUAAACCUUUGCAUCAUUCAAAUGUCACAGGUGACUUGUUUUAGUUUGGGAUCUUGAAAGAAUCAAACCAACAUACCUUUCCCGGCAACAGUCAGCAGUGGUAAGCAUGUGCCGCUGGAGCCCGACCAACUUCCCUUGAUCCCAUUUAUUGUCUCCUAUCCACGGCAACAAAGUGAAAAAGGUUUCAGCGGACUUAGUCGGGCAUCCACGAUCAGGUUUUAGAGGGAGAAGACUCACCACCUGCUGGCAAGGUCGGGACCGUGGUCGUCCGUCUCCGCUUUGCCGGCCGAUAAGAUCAUUGAUAUUGACCAGCCAGCUGAGUACUCAUCACCUUGCUCUGCUGAAUCACCUUGAGGCUAUCGUUGGUGCUCCGUGAGGCCUGCGGUCGGGAUCUAAAGUCCAUGAUUUGCUGUUCGGUUCACCAUAGUGACCAGCGAACAGUGUCAGGAGAAAAAUGUCGCUUUACGAUCAAGACGGUAGAAUAAAUCGAGAUUAUUUCCAAAUAAAACGAACAAGAAACUUCAUGCAUCUACGUGAACAAAAUUAUAAUCAGCAGGGAACAUAAUUAUAUUUGACAGAAGCCUCAAACUCGAUUGAAAUCACAACCGGUACAAUUUUCUAAGUUUGGUCUUCACAACUAUACAAAAGAAGAAGAAUAAAUGUAUACCAUCAUUUCAAAUCCAAGACAAUAUUAUCAAGGUUAAGAAAAAUCGAAUCACAACAGUCCACUGCAAUGAAUUCUCAAAAUAUCUUGGAAUUACUCUGCUUCGCGUUAUUUAGUAUGCUUGUUCUCCUUCCCAUAGAGUGUCCGUUGAUUCAGCUAGUUGGUGAUUGUUUUUAGUCCAUAGUAGCAAAUUUGUUGCACAUGCUGCAUGCAUGUAAAAAAACAAUGCACGGUGCUGUUUUUUUGUCUGUGAAUCGUGUGCACAGCCCACGACAACAUAACUGAAGACAUACUAAAUGCUUUCUAGUUAACUCUUCAAAUGACUAAUCAAUACAGUAAGUCCUCACUGCAUCUCUAGGUAGGAACCGAAUAUCCCGGUCUGUUUUCUCUACCAGUUCAGAUCUCGCAAAAGUAGGGAGUACGAAAAAUAUAGCAGAAGGGAUAACCUGAAGUAGCUAUUAUGAACCAAGCAUCAUAUAUAUCAGCUGCCCAUUAAUGGGUAGUUCGUGCAAUGUGCACAAUUUCUAUUCAAGUAAUAAAAGUGAUGGAAGACCUCAAGUACGUUCAACCCAGAUUACUUACACAUGCAAUGCACUUGCCAUCAAUCGGGCUUAAAAUUUGUUCAUAGGAGACGGAGAUAUCGGGUUAGAACUUCCCUUGUUUUUACAUUGAUUUUAGGAUGGAUGCAGUAGUAGGGCUCUCUUGAAUCUAGAUGAUGUGCAGGUUAGGUGUGGCUGUGAAGGAGAUCUGUGAGUUCUUAAUAUAAUCAUGAAAAAUAGGAAGCUCUUAAUAUAAUCAUGAAAAAUAGGAUGCUCUAGUUCACAAGAAACCAAAUUGGCUCUUAUAAGCCGAUCGAUCGGCACAAUCAAAACAGCUGUUAAAUUAACAACAAAAUUGAAGGUCAUGGCUUUGUUGGAGCAAAGAUCUAAUCUCCACAUCUUGAAUAUGUGGGAACCAGAUUAGGAUGACAAUGUCCUACAAAUUCAAUACUUCAUUUUUCUGUGAUCAAUGCAAAUGUCUUCUAUGGGCUUCUGGCUACUUGUUGGCAGCAAUAGUAGGUUGGUGAGCAACUGAGCCUGCUUCCUUGUUUAGAUAUUCAGACCAGCACAUGGAAAGGCUGAACAAGUAUACUUAUAUAAUACUAACAACCUGUCAGUACCAGGGUAAUAUUUGUUGGUGAAGAUGCCUGAAAACCAAAGUUGUGAGUCUAGCUUGUUUCCUCUUGCAUCAUCUGUGUGGAGGUCAUGGCUUUCCAUACAGCAGAAUAGGGCUAAACUCCACACCUUCAACCAACCAGAGAGAGCUAGUUAGGAAAGGUGGUUAUAAUGGCGUACUGGAAGCUCAACUCUUCUUUGUCUACACUAAUGUACUAUUUAACUACUUGGGCCCAGAUGCAUACAAAAAUUGAAGAUGAAAGGUUAGGCAGAUGCAAAUGAGGUUACAGUACAUUAGGAAAAUUCACUGCCACAACGGACCUGCUAUUUUGAAACUUAUGUUUGGGACUGUAUAUGCCAAUAUCUUCAUAUCAUGUGCAGCAGCCUCUUCAAAUUGCUAGUAUCGUUGACAUGAUUUGUGAAAGAGUCCUACAGGCACAAAUUAUUGAUGCAGUAAUAAGCUAAUCAAGUUUUGUCCAGCCCGUGGCUGCAUCCACGUUGCCGCUGCUAUUGCCGGCGAAGUAUAGCAAAAGAAUCUGCGUCAUGUAAGUUGCAACUCGCACAAUCUCGUCAGGAGGCUUGGGAGCAGCAUCGUGAACGACAGUGCGAUGACAGUCUGCCUGAUGGAUAACCUCAGGGUGCAGCCAAGGUGCUUGUGACGCGCUCCAUCUCCUACUCGUCAAAAUCGCCGCGCUGCUCCUGCGCCGA